GACGAACGCUGGCGGCGUGCUUAACACAUGCAAGUCGAACGGAAAGGCCCUGCUUUUGUGGGGUGCUCGAGUGGCGAACGGGUGAGUAACACGUGAGUAACCUGCCCUUGACUUUGGGAUAACUUCAGGAAACUGGGGCUAAUACCGGAUAGGAGCUCCUGCUGCAUGGUGGGGGUUGGAAAGUUUCGGCGGUUGGGGAUGGACUCGCGGCUUAUCAGCUUGUUGGUGGGGUAGAGGCUUACCAAGGCUUUGACGGGUAGCCGGCCUGGGAGGGUGACCGGCCACAUUGGGACUGAGAUACGGCCCAGACUCCUACGGGAGGCAGCAGUGGGGAAUAUUGCACAAUGGGCGGAAGCCUGAUGCAGCAACGCCGCGUGUGGGAUGACGGCCUUCGGGUUGUAAACCGCUUUCGCCUGUGACGAAGCGUGAGUGACGGUAAUGGGUAAAGAAGCACCGGCUAACUACGUG
RNAcentral lists this ribosomal RNA (468 nucleotides) under uncultured bacterium. RNAcentral describes it as "partial 16S ribosomal RNA". It matches the Rfam family "Bacterial small subunit ribosomal RNA", at positions 28 to 507 of the family's 1533-position model. The record is from RNAcentral.